This 490-nucleotide ribosomal RNA is filed under the name Bacillus sp. RKVR_SS14. RNAcentral's name for it is "bacterial SSU rRNA". It matches the Rfam family "Bacterial small subunit ribosomal RNA", at positions 9 to 484 of the family's 1533-position model. Lineage: Bacteria; Bacillati; Bacillota; Bacilli; Caryophanales; Bacillaceae. The record is from RNAcentral.
GAGUUUGAUCCUGGCUCAGGACGAACGCUGGCGGCGUGCCUAAUACAUGCAAGUCGAGCGGACAGAAGGGAGCUUGCUCCCGGAUGUUAGCGGCGGACGGGUGAGUAACACGUGGGUAACCUGCCUGUAAGACUGGGAUAACUCCGGGAAACCGGAGCUAAUACCGGAUAGUUCCUUGAACCGCAUGGUUCAAGGAUGAAAGACGGUUUCGGCUGUCACUUACAGAUGGACCCGCGGCGCAUUAGCUAGUUGGUGGGGUAAUGGCUCACCAAGGCGACGAUGCGUAGCCGACCUGAGAGGGUGAUCGGCCACACUGGGACUGAGACACGGCCCAGACUCCUACGGGAGGCAGCAGUAGGGAAUCUUCCGCAAUGGACGAAAGUCUGACGGAGCAACGCCGCGUGAGUGAUGAAGGUUUUCGGAUCGUAAAGCUCUGUUGUUAGGGAAGAACAAGUGCGAGAGUAACUGCUCGCACCUGACGUACCUACAG